AAAAACAAACACAUAAAACUAGUGGGUUGGACACAUAUGAUCUACGUCAUGAGAAAGUCCCAUGUAUCCUUGGGCAGCAAUUCUGGAUUAAGGAAACCACUGAAAUGGCAAAUUCCAACUACUUCUUACAGCAUAGCAGGUAGAAUUGUUAUUCUCUCCUGUUACUUCCUGAUCUUUGAACUCGGUUCCUCAUUCCUCUGCACUGUUUCUCAGUGUGGCCCAGGGCUGACACAUACCUCAACUGGACACACAGUCCUACUUGCAGAUGGGGCUUAGGUUAAACACUCGGCUUUGUGGCAUUUCUGUGCUAAUCUCUGAAGGCUUUUGGAUACACCCUUCUGAGGCAAUGCACUUCUAGAAACCCUGCUUAGCCAGACAGAAGUUGGGCUUCCCUGGGGUUAAAUCCCAAGACAAUUUCAGUGGUGGUUAAAUUAGAUGUAGGCAGGUGGAAGUGUACACCACUUCAAAAUGUAACUCCAUUGCCUCUUGGUUUUACUAAUGCCUCAAAGAAGGGCUGGCUUACUCUAACUGCAGUGUAAUGUCUAAGUAGAAAAAGAGAUGUUUGGAAAAAUCAUUCAUUUAUUACAUUUUUCAGAAUAAAGCAAUUGCAUCUUCCUUAGCAGAGAAUGCAAAGAAAGCUGUAAAUAACAUAGCUGUUCAUUGGCAACUAGAAAAAAAAAAAAAAAGUCAAAUUCAAAGCUUGCCACUUCUAUUCACAGUGAAUGACUUCAGAGUCAAAAGAAUAACAGGGUGUGUACAGCCUGAAGAGAAUAUUGCUGGUAAAAUUCUAAGGAUGCCUCUUAAAAUGGGCAAUUGCUCACCAUGUCAGCUGGAAUAAAGUUUGUCACAUUGCAUGUCUAGAUGCAAUAUGGUGAUAUAUGCAAUUUCAGUCACUCUUUCCAAAUUGUGGGCUUUAUCUGAAAUGCUCUCAUACCCUGAACUGUCUGCAUUUUCAUUAAAAGAAUGAAUGUUCCUGUCAUCAUCUUGGUAGGAAUACCAACAGGAAAUAAGCUACCUCUAAAUGAAAAGAUGCAUUUUAUUAUUUGUGAAACCAAGGAAAUAUUACUCAAACAUACAACUUGGCUAGCAGAUGGUUUGUUUGGAGUAUGGAAUUAGUGCUUUUGCAGGAGUCUGACAAAUAGCCUGGGGUUUCUGACAACGCACUGGCAUGCCAGUGGCUGCGUGAUCUUACAGACAGCAUUAAUUUCUCUGUGCAUCAGUUUCUUCAUCAGUAAAACUGCAAUAAUCAUUUUCUGCUGGAGUUUCCAACUAAUAGGCUUGUUAUGCCCUGCAAAGCACUCAGAGAUCUCUGUCUGGAACAAACUACAGAACUGCAAAGUAUUAUUGCUAUUAGAAGUCCAUUACAGCUCUGUUUUGCUUUGUUCAUACUGGCCCUUUGGUACGUGCAGCUAGACAGCUCCCAAUGUUAUCUUGAUGCACAAAGCACUUUUUGUGUGAGGUUUGACUCACACUAAAAUGCCAGUUAGAAUUUUUUCCUCAGGAACUCACUGGAGCUUGGCUUACAGAAUCUGAAAAUUAAAUCAACCAAAAUAGGUCAAACACAAAACUAUAUGUCCUUAUGUGUCCCCUUGUCCUCUUUUAGCAGCUUUUAGCAGCACAGCGCAGUUGUUUUCUUGUUGCUUGGGCCUGUUUCAUUCUUCAGCCGGUUUUGGUAACUACAUCUUGGUUACGUUUUGAAUACCUGCUCUUGAGAGUUUUCUGUUCCUAUUAAAUAUAGUUUAGAAGGACACACUCAUCUGUUAGUGGUCCAGAAAUAACGUGCCGCAUGCACCAGCAGCUGAUGCGACUGAACGCGAUACGAAAGUGUAUCAUUCUGUUACAGUUUGUUGGUAGACAUCAGUAUGGAGAUAUUUUUGUACCUUAAAAAAAGGAAUAGUGUAUCGGAAAUUGAAUCAAACGUUAACAGAAGGUGCAGUUUGUGGUUUACUUUUCCUUCAUAGCUAGUUCUUUAGGGGAAUUAUUUCUGUUCACAUAAUCCUUUAAGCUAAUGUAUUUAUUUUAUACGUGGUUUAUAACUUCAUUCGUAUGUCAAGUAGCUGAAGGUGCUGUUUAAAUUAGUAUUUACUUCAGUAUUAUACCUUUUUGAAUUGGUUGUUCAUUACAGUCAUAAUGCAGUGAAUAAAUGUGUUAAUAUUUGAAGUGGGAAGGGAGGUAAAAAGGGAAACUGUCUGCUCCAGUCAGGGCCCAGCUUUCUGGUUACAACAUAUUAUAAUUUAUUUAAACUCAAUCAAUACUUAAUCUGGAGUUUAAAUUCUGCUAAAGAUCUGUGGCAUAGCUAAAAGCAGCUGAUGCCAAAGAAAAAAAAAUUUCUUCAGGCUGUGAUUCUGAUGUAUUUAUAAUGCGCUGUAAGGGUGAUGCAUUGACCUAAAUUCACAGAAGCUCUGCAAUUCGUACUUAUUAUUGUGAAAGGUGUCCUACCAACACUUUUCUUCUGAAUGUUGCGAGCCUGUGCAGGAAAGAUGACUGGCUGCAGAGGAAGGACUGCAUGCACUGCCUGGGUCUCUCCGCAUCCCCAGGGAAGGGUGGGAUGGGACAGAGCACAGCCUGAGCCCUGCCGGCCCCACGCCACAGACCAGGCGGUGGCUCACUGUAACCCUGAGAUUCAAGGCAAGAAUUAAUUCAGCACUGCAAAAAUCUGGCAACUGUUUGAAGCCAGUAGUGAGGGCAGACUUCCUGAGAGGUGUGUGUUUGCGGUGACAAUUUGGAUUUAUUUUGCUGGCAAUGUGAAAGACAUUGUUAUGGCAGGAAGAAGACAGUUGUGUUGAAAACUGCUUCUCCUUUUUAGUUUUUUUUUCCCCUUAAGCUUUUCUGGGGAAUAGAUUUCCAUCUCUGCAGGGUUUGGUUUUCUCUGUACAGCUCUUUAAACUCCCCCAAGCACAGCCAUCUCAGGGCAGGGCCCACGGGCAGCUCCUACCAGCACUGCGGGGAUGCUUACACACCAUUUUCUUGUUAGACCAGGCAACUUCAUAUUUCCCAGCACAUUUUGGCAAGCUUUUUCUCAGAGUUGUCCAACAGCUUUUCGUAGUAAGUGAAUGACUUCCCAGUGACCUGAACCCUCUUCCAAGCCUCCUUUUUCACCCUGACAGCUCACAUUCAUGCUUUUCUGAUUUUGUGCAAAGCUAUACGUUUUACCAGAUUUAUAACUGCAGGAGACUUUUCUAAAAAUUAAAAAAAAUUAACUGAAUGAAUAAUGGAAAUGUACUGUGAAUAAAGGCUGACAAUCAUCCCCCUUCUUUCAUGAUACGAUAUGCUGUCCUCAUGAAAAGGGAGAAGACCUCCAUUCUCCCUCCUAAUUGAUACAUGAAUACUUGUCAGAUGUGGAUUUCCUAGGCAGCCUGCAAGGCAGGACUCACCCCCGCACCGUUCAUCCCCAGUCCCUGUGUGCUUUUGGGGCAUCACAUCAGACACUCUCCCAGCUUGUGUCUUCUUGCUCUGUUUUGUGCCCACCUCUGCUCAUAUUGCUACUGUAGUCAAAUUCUUGUUGUGGUUUAUGCCAGAAUAAAUAUCAACUAGCAUAAAUCUGCAGGCUUAGAAGGCAUUAGCCUGCCUUUACUGUAGCACAAUCAACAGCUGUACCUGGCACCACAGCCUCAUUCCACCCCAGAGUGGCAGCAUCCAGAGCCUUGCUGCGUUGGAGGAGCAGAGCCAGCCAUGCUUGCUGAGGUUUGUUCCUCUGGGCUGGCCCUGAGGAUGUUCUCAUCCUCAGCAUGCAAACACAGCUUCUCAGCAGGAGCGACUAUUAGUUCCAGCUUUAACCUUUACUUAAAAAUAUGAAGGUGCUGAACAAAAAUGCAAGAAUUUUGUGUUCAAACUCAUGGCUAACUCAGAGAGCUGGGCUCCUAGAACCAACUGUGAAUAUCAGUCUAGCAGCAAGAAAGUUUAUGUUCAACUUCAGUUUUUCUUCUAGCUACAAUGCUCAAAGGGAGUACUUCUGUAUUCAGAUACAGGAGUUAUGAUAUAUUUACCUGCCGAAAAAGUGGAUUGGAGUUCUUGUGCCCUUCCUGCCCCCCAACAUGGCAGCUUGGAACUGUAUCAACACAGCUACAGAUCAUGAGUGACCACUGGCAGAGUCAUAUACAAAACCUGCAGUUAAUAUCUGGAAAAAUAAGUUUAAAAACUGAGGAAGAUAACGAGAAGUUCCAAAAAAAAACUAAAGCUGUAUCUCAAUCCUUAUCAUAAUGGUCUAACCAAAUCUCCCCAACAUAUCUUUAAUGUUUAUGUUUCGUGUAAGGACUAUUUUUCUUUUCUUUUCUUUUCUUUUUUUUUUAGAAGUUUUAUUAGAGUUCAUGAUCUGUCUUGCUUUUUGUUAGGGAGAUGGAAAAAAAAACGAAAACCCACCAUUCAUCAUAAUUCUUUGGUAUUGCUAUUAUGGCCAGGAGAAAAGAGGGCUUCUGCUAGUUCGUGUACAAGUCAAAAGCAAGGCAUAUUCCUUUCCCCACAAGAUCCCAAGAAGAAGAGUUGGUGGAUGGAUAAGAUAAAAAUGGGUAUCAAUUGUGAGAGAUGGGCUGACAAAAAAAAAAAGUGUGCAUAGUUUUUUGACUAAUCUAGAAUAGUAAUUGUACUUUGCUUACAUGUCUGAUUAUGUUUAGGUGCCAAUUUUCUUUCCAUGUAACAAAAGAGGUGACUUUCAUGAGAAUAAUCUGAAGGAGGUUGUGGUGGGUGACUGGUUUUUUGUUUUUUGGUUUUUGGGGUUGUUUUUUUUUGUUUGUUUUGUUUUGUUUUUUAAUGUGGAAUUUUUUUACCAGGUCGACAGACCAAUUUCUCUCCAUUGUUCACAAAGCUAUACAGUAUUUUUUUUUCCUUCCCACUGUGCCUUGAAAAAAACUUUCUGGCUUCAGUUCAUGUGUGAAACCUUUUGCACAACAAAAGUGGUUUCUUGUGGCCAGUAAGACUAAAUGUUCUGAGCAUUCCAGGAAGCAUAUAAAUAGACUGAUACUCUUCCUAAGGUUAUGUCCCUUUUUUCUUUAUUUCUCUUCCUGUCUUACUCCCCUACCUUCAGUUAUGCUCUCUACAUCUAGGCAAAGAUCAGAGUGCAGUGUUUGAAAAUCCUGACUAUCAUUUUCCAUUUUACUUGGGUUUGCCUUAGUUACAUUUCUGAAUAGAAAUUGUUCAAGUAAAUGCAGCACAGUAAAUUAUCUUAAAUUACUUCUUACAGUCCAGACUAGUAUUAUAACAUGAAAAUUGUUACUUGGAGUCUCCCACGCCCCUGGCUGCUGCAGACCUAUGUCUCCAGGCUGGGGAGAAAUGGAUCAUAGUACUUCCCCAGCAGAGCCUGCAGGCCAAUCCACCACAUGGAAAGUGGAGUUCGCAUAAAAGAGGUCUCUUAUCCCUUCCUCUCAAUCCUGCUAGAUACAGCAAAGCUGUCACAAUGGUCAAAUAUAAUUAAAAUGGUGAUCCACCACUGAAGAGUAGGCCAAUGUCUAUGCAGAAACCAGAUGAGAAAUUAUUCAAGCCAAAAACAUGAAAUCUCAGCUCAUCUGUGGUUACCAUAAAAAAAGCCAUUCUGUCUCUUUGAUCUGUGAUGAAUUUGAAUGUGUGUUAAUAAGACAUAUAUGUUGGGCAUCAGCAUCGUCUUCUGUUGAACGAAGGUAAACAUUGCAUUCGUCUCUGUAAAACAUACUUCAGUAGUUGGGAAGAAAAGUGGAGAUUCAUUAUUUUUGCAGUUGUAGAAGACAUUCAGCAGCUGUGUUUAUACUGGCAGACAAUUUGGAUAUUAGGUGGCAGGACAGAGAACUGCAGAUGCACAAUAUCGUGCAGACAUUGUGCACUUACAGCACAUUUUCAGGGAAACAUGUUAUUUUAUAUUUCCCUUGGUGUCAUUAAUCACGUUUCAUAAUGUAUCUCACUAUUUCAAAUCAUUCCCCUAGAUUCAUUCAUUUUUUGGCUUGUUUAUAUAAUAGUUAUUGAGCUCCAUUUCAACAAAUUCCAUCUUAACUACAGAUAUCAAAGUUCCUUUUGCUUCAGGGGAGAAAAUUAAGAUGGCCCUGUACUGAUUUCAGAGACUACCUGUAAUAAUCAGCAUGUCUGCUAUAUAAGAAAGAUAUUUUGUUUGCCUUUGGUCAGAAAAAUGUUCAUGCUGUUCUUUGCAAGUUAAAAAUUAAACUUAUUUCCUGAAAGUAAAAAUACGGUUCUUAUCUUGAACUAUGAAGGAAAACAGCUGCACUUUACUCUGUUCUUGAAGUUCUCCAAUCCCUCUGGAGGCUUUGUUUAGGUUUUACAGGUGAAUCCCUUUAACUGCAGCAGUGAUGAUGGCUCAUCCUUGGCAGAAACGUGCUGAGAAGCAGUUGGGAAUCCCCUGCUUGGGAGCUGCAGCCUGAGGAACUUCAGCGUGUAAGAAGUUUGUAAGGAGUGCCUUUAAGGACUCUUCUUAAAGGAAUUCUAAAAAGGGAAACUCAGGAAUGCCUACCUGACUGUCCCAGAGAAUUGCCAUCCAAAGGAGCAGCCUACAGCAGCACAAGCAUUUCAUCUUCUGGAUUUGUAGAGAUGUGGGAUUUGUUGAUGCUGAAGGGAGGAGGAAGUCGAGAGAGAAAAAAAAAAUUCUGGGAGUGUUUAAACUGUCUCCCAGUAGAUCUGUGUAUGGCAGAGAAAGGAUCCCUAUGACGUUUCACACAACUAGAAGUGAAGGUUUUAAUUCAGCUUUCACAAUAUAUGAUUUCAGCAUUCAAAUACUUCCACAUACAAGCCAGAACCACUAUAUGCUACCACCAUUCCAAGUAAAGUGUAGAAUUGCUGUUAUAUCUGCAUGUCUGGGAGGUGGCAUGCUAGUGACCUGAUGUAUGUGUUAUCCAGCAUACGGAUUUUCCAGAGUGAUCUCCAAAUUGUAAUGGACAACCUCUUUCCUGCCAGCAGAGCCCAGAGAGGAAUAAACCAAGACCACCAGCUAAGUCACUGCGUAAUGUGCUAUGGAUAUGAGCAUUGAAUGCCCUCAGUGGCAAUGACUCAGGACCAAGUCGACCUUUUGCAGGAAUUACCUGCAAAGGAAACUGGGAACUCCACGGCAUCUGUCAUCCUUCCCUCCAGAUGGUGCCUCCAAAUCUCUUCUGAAAUGGUGUGUGCAGAGCAGACACAGAGUGCCUAUCACUCAGCCCUCUGGUGGCCCUCCGGGACAGAGAGAACACAAAAUCAGAAAUAAGGACUUGCAAACUGGCUGAAGAUGCCCAGAGAGUCGUGUAUCUGACAGCCAGAGAGAGACAGAUGAUCCCUUUACCACUGAACUGCUGUGGCUUGAUUGUGUGAAACUGAAUUUCAAGACGCAAGAUACUGUUCAGAUAGUUCUGCAAUAUAUUCCUCAGAUCCAGCAGCUUUGGCAGGAGAGAGCCCAUGGGUGAUGGAAUAACCAGAUCUCUGCGUCCAUCCCAUGAAAAACAGACCCUUUCUUCUGGAUUCCACAGGAUUCUCCCAGCAGCCAGCCUUGUUUACAGAAGUCAGCAGGAAUAGUAACAGCUCUUCACAAACGAGCCAUGGAGAAACCUUUUGGGAAGGCACCUCACAGUGCUUUGUCAUCUGCUGACAAACUGGUGCCAGGACCAGAACUUCAUAAUAAAGUCUUCAGAGAAAAUUUUGCAGCAGAUCAAGGAAUCUCAAAGUGCUCAUGCAACGUGAUUUCUACAUUAAACGAGCUCUUAAGUGAAAGCGUUCUCAGCUUUCAAGUUUGGGUUUAAAAAUCCAGCACGGAACGGAUGAAGUGGAAUGUUUGUUCUGGACCGCGCGUUGACAAAGGGGAGGAAACCCCUCGCUGUGGGAUGGCAGCCGCGGGUCAGAGGCGUGUAAGCAGCCGUUACCGCCAUCCAGAGGAGAGCAGCCAUCAGCCGUCAGAUUUCAUUUUGUUGUGUGCGUGGAAAGGAGAACCCAACCGGCUGGUCUGGUUCGUGCUGAGACAUCCCAGAGGAGAAAAACAACAUCCAAAAUGACAACCGGUUUCAUACGGCCUGUUUUUUAAACUUGAAGUCCAAACAAAAGCAAUCUUUUGGUAGAGAUCUGCGUUAGAAGCUGGCAGGAGCACUACUGAGAUGUAAGGAGGUAAACUCAGGCUUAAAGUGAGAGGAUCCCUCGCAUCACUAGUUUCAACUAGAGGAUAUGUGUGUGCUAUGAGAAUAUUCAAUAUGAAAAACGUGGUGCAAAACAGAGGCAACCAAUUGGAGCAGUGCUUCAGACUAAGCUGAGCUGCACUCACAGGAGCAGAGCUGGCAAGGACUGCUAGGUUCAGCCACCCAGCACAGUGCCAGUCUGCGCUGUUGUGAAAGACCUGUGAAUAAAUAUUCAUAGGGAUGAAUUCAGAGGUGAUGGGCAGCACAGACCGAGGAAAAGGAGCCCAGAGUCUGUGCUGAGGUAAAUCAUGAAAAGAGGAAACAGAAGAGGAAAAGCAGCUAAGUGAAAGCAUGUAACAAAGCUCAAUGUGAGUGUAAGUCUGUCCAGCCUCUGGAGCAGCUAGGAGAAAAGCUUUCAUGCCCCACAGCUGGGAGCUCACCCACAGACCUUCUUCUCUACACACAGCAGCAAUGGGCCAGGCAACUUCAGUGGGCUCAUAUGUAUGCACACACUUACCUUCCUGUAAUACCCAAACAUUAAGAAGACAGAUCUACAGCUGAUCCAUUUGAGGCAUGCAUGUAUUGGGUUUGUAUUGCACUUACUGAGUAAACUUGAAAUGUGGAGGAGCCCAAAUCUCUAUUCUGGACAGUUUGAGGUUGUUUGGAUCUGACAUUUCUGUGUGUUCACUGACAGAAAUAAGCUCAUUAUGAAGUUGUGUUGGAAGAUGGAUGCCCUUUUUCCAAGUUUUGAGAAGUGUCUAGGCAGAGUAAUUGGACUGCAUUAGAUAAAUCAAGUGAAUGUGAAAAAUCUUCAUUAGAAGGGAAGAAAUAUGUGGUUUUAAGUGCUAAGACAAUUCCACAUAACAUUAGAGUUUGCAUCUACACUCACAGUACGCAGAGAGAUUCAUGCAGAUGUCCAAAAAUUGAAAAGGCUUUAAAUGUAUUUUAUCUAAUUGUUUGUUGAACAGUAUUUACCUUUUGCCUUCCACAGGUUGUUUUGAAAUCUGAAUGUGUAAUAACAUCUCUGAAUGUUUUAAUUUAAGCUAAUGUGCUAUUCCUUUAUGCAAAAAGUAAAGGUAUUUUGAAACUCUUUGCGGAA
Long non-coding RNA from Tympanuchus pallidicinctus (lesser prairie-chicken), 9147 nucleotides. RefSeq lists it as uncharacterized. The transcript is spliced from 14 exons. The record is from RefSeq and is a predicted model, not a curated record. Lineage: Eukaryota; Metazoa; Chordata; Aves; Galliformes; Phasianidae.